AACUCUACAAUGCAGGCAACUGCGAUAGGGGAACAUCGAGUGAUACUCAUAUUGGGUGUCUGUCCCACCGUCUAAAAAACGGUGGUUAGCAAGGGCCGGGCAAGACCGGUGCCAGCCGCCGCGGUAAUACCGGCGGCUCGAGUGGUGGCCGAUAUUAUUGAGUCUAAAGGGUCCGUAGCCGGCUUUGCAAGUCUUUUGGGAAAUCCAGCGGCUUAACCGUUGGGCGUCCGGGAGAUACUACAUUGCUUGGGACUGGGAGAGGUAAGAGGUACUCAGGGGGUAGGAGUGAAAUCCUGUAAUCCUUUGGGGACCACCGGUGGCGAAGGCGUCUUACCAGAACAGGUCCGACGGUGAGGGACGAAAGCUAGGGGCACGAACCGGAUUAGAUACCCGGGUAGUCCUAGCCGUAAACGAUGCUCGAUAGGUGUCACAACAAUCGUGAAUUGUUGUGGUGCCGUAGGGAAGCCGUGAAGCGAGCCACUUGGGAAGUACGACCGCAAGGUUGAAACUUAA
Molecule: ribosomal RNA, 513 nt
Filed under: uncultured archaeon
Lineage: Archaea
Description: bacterial SSU rRNA
Rfam family: Archaeal small subunit ribosomal RNA
Source: RNAcentral